UCUUACAUUGUGCGUGCAGAAAUCUUCAAGUCGUAAAAACGAUCUUAUGUUGAUUUAAAGAGUUUAUAGCUGCAAAAUAUACAUUUCUUCGAUUUAUUGCUUGACUUGUUAUUUCUGGAGGAAAGUGACGGCAAAAGCAAAUAGCAUUGAUACAAACCAUUUUUUAUUUGUUAACAGAUUCAAGUUUGGUACAAGCUUGGGUGUAAAAUAAAUUUUUCUAUAAGUUUAGUAGUAAAUUAAUUAACUAGUGGCAUACUAAAACCAAAUAAAUACGGUUAUUUAUUAUGUAUUGCUUUUAUUUUAACAAAACCUAAAGCAAUUUCAGUUACAACUUUAAAUACUUUAUUCGCGGUAAAUAUUAUAUUAAAUCAACAGGUGUAAUAAAAUCGCUGAAUUUGAAUGAACCAUUGUUUUUGAUGUUGCUGUUGCAGACUGUUUAUUGAAUGUUACUUUGAAGUAAUUACAUAAAUUAGAUUCAUUGGGCAUUAAUUAUAUGAUAUUUGAAUGGACACUAAUUAAAUUCACUGAGUCAGUAUAGGGAGAAUAAAAACGUUUCUGAAAUAUUUGUCUGAAUGAAAUUAAAUCGAUUAAAUAUUUGCGUAUCAAUUAAGCCAGGGAUCGCGUUUAUUUUUAAGGAGUUUUAAAAAUUCUGACGCAUCUUCUCUGUUAUGCUUUACACAGUUUCGUGGAUCUUCCUUGAAGGAGAUUGAUGUGGCCAGUGAAAUCCAUCUCUGCGUCACUUCUUAGCGCAAACCCUUUACAAUUUGUUGGAAGUUAAACUGAUCCUGCAAGCUACAGAUACCUCCCUUGAAUAACUUUAGGAAAAUGCGACUUUCUCUCAGAUUUUCUUUAGUUAGCAGAUUACAUAGUUUAUGAACGUGAUGUAAUCAUGGCCAGAAGUUCCAACAGUUGAGCCGUUCCAUCUAUAAUUAUGUAAAAUCGAUGCUUUGGGAUGAUUACCAACUCUAGGGUACCUUAAAUGGCAUUGUUAGAGCGAAAAAGCGGUUAAUUGCUUUUAAAUGAAACCGUAAAAGGAGGAAAAAUGUUCCUGGCCCUAAAGACAGGUUUAAACGCGGCAUAAAACUUGAAUGAACGUUACUUAAAUAUUUACCAAAUGCAUUCUAAUUUCAUUUGAAUUUUUAAAUAUUUACUCCGAAUUUCAAAACUAUAUUUUUCUUGUGGCGAUAGGUAAGUUAUCCAGAUGCUCGUUAUAAACAAAAUCUGUGUCAUAUUCGUUUUAUAGCUAUCCUACUAACAUUCAUUGUUAAAAUAUUGUUUCAGUUUGAAUAGGUACAGCUGUAAUUGUAGUCGAGUUUUGGUAAACAAAAUGAGCAAAGUAAACACGCAGUUUUUAUUUAAAAAAUGCUGUAAAAAUAAAAUCGCAAUUUAUUCCUGGAUUAAGUGCUCAGUAUUUUUAGAUACUCCGAUAAUAAUAUAACUAAAUCAACUUUCUAAGUAGAUAACGAAUGGGGGGACAACACAACACAACCUUGACCUUGAGUUUGACCCCGCCCAUUUUCCCUCUCUUUCUUUCAAGGUCACUCGUUCUCUCUCUCUUUCUUACUUUUUCAAGGCCAACCCUUCCACUUCCCCCACCACUUCAAGGCCAAGGCAUUAUUGGACCUUGAUGUUUUCAAGGUCAAGGCUAUUCAUGUUACUCCCCACUUUUGCAAGGCCAACAACUCCUCACUCAUUCAAGAUGAAUCGCGCAAUUGUCCUUACUCAUUUUCCACCCCAAACUGUAUAAAAGUUAAUGUGUUGUGUUGUGUAACACAGUUCUUGUGUAUAUCUACAAUAACAAGCAAUUCUUAAAAAAUGGAACCCAUCAGAAAAAGUUCUAUUUUUAAUACUCCUGAGGAUAUCAUAGUUUGUCCAUACGACAAAAACCACAUUCUUCUUUGGUUUCGGCUCGAAAGGCACAUUUGGAAGUGCCAUCGGGCCGAUAAAGAAAAGCAAAGGGCCUCAAGUAAAGUGAUGGUGCAAGAAGAAGAGGAGAACUGGGAUCAUUUUAAUGAGCCCAGCUACCUCGACUUCCUGAGGAGUAAAAAGAAUCAUAAUGCCUUAAAUUAAAGAAGGCCGGGGUUCUUUCGUAGAGAAUAGUGUAGUUUAGCUAAGUAGUAGUCGUAGUAAAAUAUAAAUAUUAUAUUAUUGUAUAAAAAAAUAAAAGUUGUAAAAAAAAAAGCUACAUGUUUUUAUGUACACCUAUUUCAACCUACUAAUACAAGUAAGUGUGACCAGCAAGCAGAGUCGCUCCCUGUUUCAAGACCACUCAUUCCCUCUUUAUCUUUGAUGUUUUCAUCUCCCUUUUUCUCAUUAUUUCACUUUUUCAAGGCCACAAUAUUGGUGCAUUUUCAUUCAAGGUUAAAAAGUGGGGGUAUAGUUAAUAUAUAGAAUUUAGUACAAGUUUGAUAGCAGUCAGUACUGAUUUAAUCCUCCGAGAAAUAAGAAUAUAAAAAAGUGCAUAUAUCUGUGUUAAUGUCUAAGAGUAUUCGCUGCUGGGUCAUGGAUGUAUUGAAUCGAAUCGCUCGAUGCGGACAGAAGCCCAUUUUAAAAGCUGGUGAGCUAGAGUUGAACACAAGAUUCCGCAUACAUAAUAUUAGACGCACAAAGUCUCUGUUCGGAAAUUCAGUGCUUGUUGAGUUGGACAAUUAUGCAGUGUUUCUGCCGAGAAGAAUAAGUGAUUAUUUGACUGAGGAGAAAAUUGAUGAGUUAUUACGAGAUCCACGUCCACUAUAUUUAAUAUAUUUGGGAAAAGAAGAUGCUAGAAACCCGACAUCUGCACAUUGUUUUGAGUUUCAACGUGUUGAUGAUGAAAUAUUAGGUGAGUGAACAUAAUGUAAAAUGGAGGAUGAAAAGAAAUUAAAGAAAUGUAUAUUUCAUUUACAGUUAACGAGGGUGCCGAAGAGUAGGAUGAAAUUAUCGGAAAAAGACUUAUGUGUGUGAAGUAGUGUGCGUUUUGUGCUAGUGAUAGUUUCUUAAAAUAAAUAAAUAAAUAAAAAAUCAUGUGUCUAGACGAUGGACAAUAUGAAAAAAGUUUAUACGAGUGUUUUGAUAAAAGACUGUUAUCAUAUAAGAACUGGGUACAUUCAUACCCAUCUCCAUGGAGUUUAGCAAAAGCGGGAUUGUUUUAUAUUCAAAUAUCUGAUUGUACCCAGUGUUUUGUUUGUGGAGUAAUAAUUUCACGAAGGGAAAAAAGUGAUGAUGCGUUUAUGGAGCAUAAAAAACAUUCUCCAAAAUGUGGAUAUGUGAAAUUGCUUUCCACAGACAAAACUACAAUUCAGAAAUUCAAAUUAGUUACUAAAAAUAGCAUUGUUGUAGUUUUAUUUUUUAUAGUAUUUGUAUUCAUAUAUUAUUUAUGUGCAUAGGUAAUGUGAUGCAGACUUGUUAACCUUGAUCAGUGUCGGGCGCGCGUCAAAGGCAAAGGUUUCAAGAGGCGUUUUGAUUUAAUUAGUUUAUAAUUAAAUAAGUGGUAGAAUAAUAUGGAGGAUUUAUAAUAGAUUUAAGGAUAUUUAAUGUACUACCUAUAAUAUUGAUGAAAUAAAGUGUUUUAAUCGA
Long non-coding RNA from Tribolium castaneum (red flour beetle), 3555 nucleotides. RefSeq lists it as uncharacterized. Lineage: Eukaryota; Metazoa; Arthropoda; Insecta; Coleoptera; Tenebrionidae. The record is from RefSeq and is a predicted model, not a curated record. The transcript is spliced from 3 exons.